RNAcentral lists this transfer RNA (523 nucleotides) under uncultured Prochlorococcus sp. RNAcentral's name for it is "partial 16S-23S ribosomal RNA intergenic spacer". The stretch from base 211 to 283 matches the Rfam family "tRNA". Lineage: Bacteria; Bacillati; Cyanobacteriota; Cyanophyceae; Synechococcales; Prochlorococcaceae. The record is from RNAcentral.
CAGGGAGACAACAAAAUGUUUAAUAUUAUUAUUUUGUCACCUUAGGUCGAUCGGUAUCUCACGUUCUUAAUUUAUUAAGAAUUUCAUUUCCUAAGUUUUCUAGGUCACACCCAUUAUUUUUCCUGGGCCAUUAGCUCAGGUGGUUAGAGCGCACCCCUGAUAAGGGUGAGGUCCCUGGUUCAAGUCCAGGAUGGCCCAUAUCUCUAUGUUGGGGGUAUAGCUCAGUUGGUAGAGCGCCUGCUUUGCAAGCAGGAUGUCAGCGGUUCGAGUCCGCUUACCUCCACUGAUUACCACCUCUUACGUAAUCUGUAGAAGGGAAAUGUUUUGAGCUGUGAUCAAAUCUGAACGAAUCUAGCUUCCUAAUUAAAUCAUUAAGAUGCUGGACUCAUUGAAUUAAUUUCAUUGUUUUCAGAGAACCUUGACAACUGCAUAGAUUAUUUUUAAAGACAAUAAGCAUCUUUAUGAUGCAGAUUUUUAUUUGUGCGAAUGCAUUAAUAACAAUUCUAUUAAGCUGAUGCUUCAA